Molecule: small nucleolar RNA, 226 nt
Filed under: Dendronephthya gigantea
Lineage: Eukaryota; Metazoa; Cnidaria; Anthozoa; Malacalcyonacea; Nephtheidae
Description: small nucleolar RNA SNORA73 family
Rfam family: Small nucleolar RNA SNORA73 family
About the family: U17 (SNORA73A and SNORA73B) also known as E1 belongs to the H/ACA class of small nucleolar RNAs (snoRNAs). Vertebrate U17 is intron-encoded and ranges in length from 200-230 nucleotides, longer than most snoRNAs.
Source: RNAcentral
UCAACGUAGACAUCCAGUGGAAUUAAGCCUCCACUGGCUCUGUCUGUAUGGCACACGGGAGCCUAACAUCUUUGAUUUGAGGUAUAUUCCCAGCCAUGACGUUGAACAUCAAAACUGCCCCAGAUAUUUUAAAUAUCUGUUGAGUGCAGUACUUUGCAUAUUCCUUGUGUCUCCUAGAGUCACUAUGUGACAAUAACGAGGAGGAUAAACCAUGCAAUGAACAGUU